RNAcentral lists this small RNA (325 nucleotides) under uncultured bacterium. RNAcentral describes it as "bacterial SSU rRNA". The stretch from base 1 to 275 matches the Rfam family "Bacterial small subunit ribosomal RNA", at positions 68 to 347 of the family's 1533-position model. The record is from RNAcentral.
GACGCUUUGGGAAAUUGGAGCGUUAGUGGCAAACGGGUGCGUAACACGUGGGUGACCUACCCCAGAGUGGGGAACAACGAACGGAAAGGUUCGCUAAUACCGCAUAGGCUCGGCCUUUCAUUGGGCAGAGUAAAGUCGCAAGACGCUUUGGGAGGGACCCGCGGCCCAUCAGGUAGUUGGUGAGGUAAAAGCCCACCAAGCCGAGGGGGAAGUAGCUGGUAUGAGAGGACGAUCAGCCACAAUGCAUCUAUUUUUCCGGUCCAUACGGAGACGCGANGCAUUCUGCUCCUCAAGAUGGUNACUCAUCCAUCCGGAAGAUUUGCGG